Molecule: ribosomal RNA, 252 nt
Filed under: uncultured bacterium
Lineage: Bacteria
Description: partial 16S ribosomal RNA
Rfam family: Bacterial small subunit ribosomal RNA
Source: RNAcentral
UACGAAGGGGGCGAGCGUUGUUCGGAUUUACUGGGCGUAAAGGGCGCGUAGGCGGCCAUCUUUGUCAGGCGUGAAAGCCCCGGGCUCAACCCAGGAAGUGCAUUCGAAACUGCAGAGCUGGAGUCCUGGAGAGGAAGGCGGAAUUCUCGGUGUAGCGGUGAAAUGCGUAGAGAUCGGGAGGACACCAGUGGCGAAGGCGGCCUUCUGGACCAGCACUGACACUCAAGCACGAAAGCGUGGGGAGCAAACAGG